UGCCAGCAGCCGCGGUAAUACGUAUGGUGCAAGCGUUAUCCGGAAUCACUGGGCGUAAAGGGAGCGUAGGCGGUUUUGCAAGUCAGAAGUGAAAGGCUACGGCUCAACCGUAGUAAGCUUUUGAAACUGCAAGACUAGAGUGCAGGAGAGGCAAGUGGAAUUCCUAGUGUAGAGGUGAAAUUCGUAGAUAUUCGGAAGAACACCAGUGGCGAAGGCGGCUUUCUGGACCAAUACUGACGCUGAGAUGCGAAAGCGUGGGGAGCGAACAGGAUUAGAUA
RNAcentral lists this ribosomal RNA (278 nucleotides) under uncultured bacterium. Its description in RNAcentral is "partial 16S ribosomal RNA". It matches the Rfam family "Bacterial small subunit ribosomal RNA", at positions 506 to 784 of the family's 1533-position model. The record is from RNAcentral.